UGUUUGUUUUGUUAGCAGCUUUUCAGUCUGUUGGAAAAGCUGGAUAAGGGUCCUGGGAGAGAAAGAGGGGGCAAGUUCCAGCCAUUGGGCCCAAUUCGGGUCUUUGGCCUCACAGAGGGCUAAUCAGGGCUUCCAGCUGUGUAAGAGUAUUAUAGGGCUGCUAGCCUGAUCAGUGUGUGCAGACUGCCUGAGGAGAAACUGCAGAAUCUCUGUGAGGAAAACCUGCGGCCUUAUACAAUCUACAACGUUCUACAGUGGAAAAGGAAACUGAACAAAACAGAACAAACGGUCAGAGCAAUGACGUCCAUUAUCGUGGAGCACCUGCGUGAGGCAGAUAGUGAGCUGAAUUCCCAGGAAGAUGCACGUAUUGAGAGAUAUCUUGCUUCCGAAAAGGAAAUGCAUCAAUCAUUUAUGACGCAGUUAAUGGGCAUGAAUGAUAGGCAGAUGUCAUUUUUUGAGCGCAUGUUUGCACGUACUCUAGGGAAUACCACACAAGCACAACAGCAAGUCACAGCUUACCCACAGCACUCAUAUGGUCCAUACAACUAUGAGUCUCCCACAAGUCCCGCAAUCUUCAGAAUAUCGGGUGUAUAGACAAUUGCCUUAAAUAAGGCCAGCUGUUGAUAAAACAAUGUUUAUGUGUUAAGGUUCUGUUUGCCUUUUUAUAUGUUAUAAUGGGCCUAAUUCUGAGUUGAUCGCAGGAGCAAAUUUGUUAGCAGUUGGGCAAAACCAUGGGGGUGAUUCCGAGUUGUUCGCUCGCUAGCUGCUUUUAGCAGCAUUGCAUACGCUAAGCCGCCGCCCUCUGGGAGUGUAUCUUAGCUUAGCAGAAUUGCGAACGAAAGAUUAGCAGAAUUGCAAAUAGAAAUUUCUUAGCAGUUUCUGAGUAGCUCAAGACUUACUCCUACACUGCGAUCAGCUCAGGCCGUUUCGUUCCUGGUUUGAUGUCACACACACGCCCAGCGUUCGGCCAGCCACUCCCCCGUUUCUCCAAACACUCCCGCGUUUUUCCCUGACACGCCUGCGUUUUUCCGCACACUCCCAGAAAACGGCCAGUUUCCGCCCAGAAACACCCCUUUCCUGUCAAUCACACUCCGAUCACUUCACCGAUGAAAAAUCUUAAUUCGGACGUGAGUAAAUCUACUAAGUUUUGUGCUAAAAUACUAACCGCAUGCGCACUGCGUACCAUGCGCAUUUUUGCCUUAAUCGCUCCGUUGUGAAAAUCGGCAACGAGCGAACAACUCGGAAUGACCCCCCAUGUGCACUGCAGAGGGGACAGAUAUAACGUGCAGAGAGAGUUAGAUUUGGGGGGGGGGGGGGGGGGUGUAUUCAAACUGAAAUCUAAAUUGCAGUGUAAGAAUAAAGCAGCCAGUAUUUACCCUGCACAGAAACGAAAUAACCCACCCAAAUCUAACUCUCUCUCUGCAAAUGUUAUAUCUGCCCCCCUGCAGUGUACAUGGUUUUGCCCAACUGCUAACAAACUUGCUGCUGGGAUCAACUCCGCAUUACCCCCAUUGUUACCUCAAAGAUGUGCGGCAGUGGGAUCCAAAUAUUGUGAUUACCUUGAUACCUACAAAGCCAAACGUUAGGGGAUUUUUACAGUGUGUUCUGUUUGUACUUUACUCUUUUAUAUUGUUACCUCAGAAAGAUGUACGGCAGUGGGAUACAAAUAUUGGGGUUACCCUGAUACCUAGAAAGCCAAACGUUAGGGGAUUUUUACAGAGUGUUCUGUUUGCACUUUACUCUUUUAUAUUGUUGCCUCAAGGAUGUGUGGCAGUGGGAUCCAAAUAUUGGGGUUACCCUGAUACCUGCCAAACAUUAGGGCAGGUGUCUACAACAUGUGGCCCUCUAGCUGUUGUUGAAAUACAUAGCAAGGCAUGCUGGGACAUGUAGUUCCACAACAGCUGGAGGGCCUGCGUUAUGGGGAUUUUUACAGAGUGUUCUGUUUGCACUUCAAUAUUUUAUAUUGCUACCUCAGAAAAUGUGUGCCAACUGUUUAAAAUCAAAAAUAUACAACCAGUAACGUUUGAAUAAUUUUUAUA
Molecule: long non-coding RNA, 2039 nt
Organism: Pseudophryne corroboree (corroboree frog)
Lineage: Eukaryota; Metazoa; Chordata; Amphibia; Anura; Myobatrachidae
Exons: 2
Source: RefSeq, a predicted model, not a curated record